This 83-nucleotide transfer RNA is filed under the name Phycisphaerae bacterium. RNAcentral's name for it is "tRNA-Tyr". It matches the Rfam family "tRNA". Rfam says of the family: Transfer RNA (tRNA) molecules are approximately 80 nucleotides in length. Their secondary structure includes four short double-helical elements and three loops (D, anti-codon, and T loops). Further hydrogen bonds mediate the characteristic L-shaped molecular structure. tRNAs have two regions of fundamental functional importance: the anti-codon, which is responsible for specific mRNA codon recognition, and the 3' end, to which the tRNAs corresponding amino acid is attached (by aminoacyl-tRNA synthetases). tRNAs cope with the degeneracy of the genetic code in two manners: having more than one tRNA (with a specific anti-codon) for a particular amino acid; and 'wobble' base-pairing, i.e. permitting non-standard base-pairing at the 3rd anti-codon position. RNAcentral also lists the same sequence under 1 other name. The record is from RNAcentral. Lineage: Bacteria; Pseudomonadati; Planctomycetota; Phycisphaerae.
GGGUCGGUGCCCGAGUGGCUAAAGGGAACGGACUGUAAAUCCGUUGGCGAGAGCCUACGCUGGUUCGAAUCCAGCCCGGCCCA